UACGAAGGGGGCUAGCGUUGUUCGGAAUUAUUGGGCGUAAAGAGCUCGUAGGCGGUUUGUCGCGUCUGCCGUGAAAGUCCGGGGCUCAACUCCGGAUCUGCGGUGGGUACGGGCAGACUAGAGUGAUGUAGGGGAGACUGGAAUUCCUGGUGUAGCGGUGAAAUGCGUAGAUAUUGGGAGGAACACCAGUGGCGAAGGCGGCUCGCUGGACCGGUUCUGACGCUGAGGCGCGAAAGCGUGGGGAGCAAACGGG
RNAcentral lists this ribosomal RNA (253 nucleotides) under uncultured bacterium. RNAcentral's name for it is "partial 16S ribosomal RNA". It matches the Rfam family "Bacterial small subunit ribosomal RNA", at positions 524 to 776 of the family's 1533-position model. The record is from RNAcentral.